AUUAUUGCUUGAGGGUGCCAAGAACUGUAGCAGUAAGAGCAGAAGCAGAAAUGAAGAACACGAAGGAUGCUAUGGAGUGAGAGAAAAGUCCAUGCUUGCAAGAAUCCAAAGACACCCUGUGAGGACGCCCCAAAAUACUCGAGGAAGUGUAUAAAGAUGGUGCCUCCACAUAAACUGAACAUAUGGCCGGCAAAGAGCACCCCUAUUCCAUCAUCCAAGUUCUCCUUCCUUAGCUGAAGUGAAAACAUUUGAAAUUGAUGAUACAAAGUGCUGGGGAGGGUGGAGAGAAAUGGCCCCUGUCUAAGCUAUAUGGAGAGUGAAUAGCAAGGCAGUUUGCCAAUAUCUAUCACUUGUUAAAUCCACAUACACUUUGCUCCAGGAAUUAGAAU
RNAcentral lists this long non-coding RNA (389 nucleotides) under Homo sapiens (human). RNAcentral's name for it is "HSALNT0401042". The record is from RNAcentral. Lineage: Eukaryota; Metazoa; Chordata; Mammalia; Primates; Hominidae.